RNAcentral lists this ribosomal RNA (497 nucleotides) under uncultured bacterium. RNAcentral's name for it is "partial 16S ribosomal RNA". It matches the Rfam family "Bacterial small subunit ribosomal RNA", at positions 28 to 507 of the family's 1533-position model. The record is from RNAcentral.
GAUGAACGCUGGCGGCGUGCCUAAUACAUGCAAGUCGAGCGAACAGACGAGGAGCUUGCUCCUCUGACGUUAGCGGCGGACGGGUGAGUAACACGUGGAUAACCUACCUAUAAGACUGGGAUAACUUCGGGAAACCGGAGCUAAUACCGGAUAAUAUAUUGAACCGCAUGGUUCAAUAGUGAAAGACGGUUUUGCUGUCACUUAUAGAUGGAUCCGCGCCGCAUUAGCUAGUUGGUAAGGUAACGGCUUACCAAGGCGACGAUGCGUAGCCGACCUGAGAGGGUGAUCGGCCACCUGGGAACUGAGACACGGUCCAGACUCCUACGGGAGGCAGCAGUAGGGAAUCUUACGCAAUGGGCGAAAGCCUGACGGAGCAACGCCGCGUGAGUGAUGAAGGUCUUCGGAUCGUAAAACUCUGUUAUUAGGGAAGAACAAAUGUGUAAGUAACUAUGCACGUCUUGACGGUACCUAAUCAGAAAGCCACGGCUAACUACGUG